RNAcentral lists this ribosomal RNA (237 nucleotides) under Triticum aestivum (bread wheat). RNAcentral describes it as "partial small subunit ribosomal RNA". Lineage: Eukaryota; Viridiplantae; Streptophyta; Magnoliopsida; Poales; Poaceae. The record is from RNAcentral.
AUGGUAAGUAGCUCCAUAACUGUUCCAAAAAAGUGUAAAGUAGUGCACAAAUGGAGAACUUUCAAGCAGCUACACCUUGAUGAGGCCAGUUGUUCACGAAUGUUACCACCAGCUUUGGACAAAACAUGAGCAAUACCCUCUUUAAGAACUUCAUUAUCCUCCUUCAGAAGUUCAAUGAUAUCUUCUUCGAAUCCAGAUAAAAGUGAAGGGAAGAAACUAGAUAUUGCCUGCAAUUAG